CGCGACCCCAGGUCAGGCGGGGCUACCCGCUUGAGUUUAAGCAUAUCAAUAAGCGGAGGAAAAG
RNAcentral lists this ribosomal RNA (64 nucleotides) under Acacia idiomorpha. RNAcentral describes it as "partial large subunit ribosomal RNA". Lineage: Eukaryota; Viridiplantae; Streptophyta; Magnoliopsida; Fabales; Fabaceae. The record is from RNAcentral.